CCCUAGUAGUGUGGCCAUCUUCUGGCAUCUCUGGAGGUGGCAUGUCAAGGGCUUCAGCCAAAGAUGAAACAUGGCGAUAUAAAUUGUCAUAAGAUUUUCGCAGCUUUUCAUAAGAUGCAACAUUUUCAUCACUGAGCUCUCCUUUAGCAUUCAAGAUCUUUGUAUUUUCAUGCUCCAUUUGGCUAAGAGAAGUGUGCUCAGACCGAAGUAAUUCUGAUACAGCAUCAAAAUAUGUAUUAAAGGAUUUCCUGAAUAUUUUCUUUU
This 264-nucleotide unclassified non-coding RNA is filed under the name Hevea brasiliensis (rubber tree). Lineage: Eukaryota; Viridiplantae; Streptophyta; Magnoliopsida; Malpighiales; Euphorbiaceae. The record is from RNAcentral.